AAGCAAUAUAACUCUUUUUAUAUAAAAAAAAUAUAGUAUUAAUAUUAAUAAAAGUAUGUCAACGGAACCUUAACUUAGUUAGUAUCAUUGCAAUUAUAACAACUAUAAAUUUAAGUAAUUGUGUAAUAUAUCAAUAAAAUAAUUAAAAAAAUUAUCGAUUAAGUCUUGACUUAAUUCACGUAUUUCUUCUUACAAUAACUCUGAUUUAAUUUCAGCAACUGGAAUUGGAAUUCCACACUCUUGGUCCUGUGAGUUUAUAUACACAUAUUGUGUGUUUGACAGACGAAAAUGAAGACUUGAGUUUAUAUACUCAUAAAGCUAGUCAAAUUCAACAUGGAACAAGGGAAAGAAAGGUUUUUCAUGUUUAACCAAAAAUAAAUAAAUUUUUACCUGUAUGUAUAGCAGAGGUUGAUGGUAUAGAAAAUUCGGAAGGUCUAUGGGCAGGAACAACCUUUCCGGGUUCAUACUGAGUCAAACACCGUUCACUGAUUCAUAGCUACGGCAUGAUCUUUUAGCAGCAAAGAUUCUAAUGCUUGAGGAUUUGGAAAAUAGCAUCUCCAAUAUGGCCUGUGGAGCAAAGGGAAAUAAGAAACUAAAGAACGCUAAGCAAAAGGGUGGUCAACCUCACAUGAGAUUAGCAUCCAACCUAAAAUCAGCUAGCAAUAGGCAAAGGGGCUUAACUUGAAUGUAAGACCACACAAAACUCAAUACUUUAACAUUCUCUCUCACUUGUAGCUCAACAAGGGUUUGCACGAGGACGACCUCACAAGGGGAUGGACACAACUGCUUAUGAGAUGUAGGAUAACACCACUUAAGGAGCUCGAAUUAAAUUGUUUAUGUAGUGCUCUAUUAUAGGCUCGGAAUAACACAAUCUAGAACAGAGCUUUUCGAAACCAGUAAUCUAAGAGAAUAGUUUUCGACUAAAUCUAAGUUAAACGAUGCUCGGAAAAAAGUUACCUGAUACUAGUUUGUGCACCUACAUCAGAAAAUGAUGAAGAUGUCAUAUCAGGACAAGCAGUUAACAUCAUUUUAUGAUAAAGAGUGGUUAGUUCUGGAAAUUUGCAAUUGAGAUUUAUCAUUUAUGGCAACACAAGUCAUAAUCAUCUUCAGCCGAGCCAUU
This 1120-nucleotide long non-coding RNA is filed under the name Gossypium raimondii (Peruvian cotton). RNAcentral's name for it is "long non-coding RNA (GRAI_LNC002485)". The record is from RNAcentral. Lineage: Eukaryota; Viridiplantae; Streptophyta; Magnoliopsida; Malvales; Malvaceae.